RNAcentral lists this ribosomal RNA (253 nucleotides) under uncultured bacterium. RNAcentral's name for it is "partial 16S ribosomal RNA". It matches the Rfam family "Bacterial small subunit ribosomal RNA", at positions 524 to 776 of the family's 1533-position model. The record is from RNAcentral.
UACGGAGGGUGCAAGCGUUAAUCGGAAUUACUGGGCGUAAAGCGCACGCAGGUGGCUGAGUCAGUCGAUUGUGAAAGCCCUGGGCUUAACCUGGGAAUUGCAGUCGAUACUACUUAGCUAGAGUAUGGGAGAGGGCAGUGGAAUUCCCGGUGUAGCGGUGAAAUGCGUAGGUAUCUGGAGGAACACCGGUGGCGAAGGCGGCAUCCUGGACCAAUAUUGACGCUGAGGAGCGAAAGCUAGGGGAGCAAACGGG